Long non-coding RNA from Amphimedon queenslandica, 373 nucleotides. RefSeq lists it as uncharacterized. Lineage: Eukaryota; Metazoa; Porifera; Demospongiae; Haplosclerida; Niphatidae. The record is from RefSeq and is a predicted model, not a curated record. The transcript is spliced from 3 exons.
UUUAUUUUAUUAUUUUAGAAUUGUUUAAAGUUAUCUAAUCCUGGUGGGUCAGUACAAUGGCCUAAGGGAAGACGGGCUCAUUCCAGUGUAUUGAUUAACACUAGCUCAGGACCACACCUACUAGUGGUGGGUGGAGUUGGUGCUUACGACUGCGUCAUAUUUGAUAUUAACAAUAAAUCAUGGAAGCAACUGUUUAAUAUACCAGACAUUGUCACUAAUAGACGGGAGCAUUCUCUCUCAGUUUGGAGUGUGACGCCAACUACUAACUGGAUAAUUGAGUUUGGAGGGUUGAGAGAUUAUUUGACAAUAAGUGAUACAGCAGUUAUUGAACUCAGAUACACUAGUGAUAAUGAUUGGUCUACUAGUGUAAUAC